Molecule: long non-coding RNA, 1615 nt
Filed under: Triticum aestivum (bread wheat)
Lineage: Eukaryota; Viridiplantae; Streptophyta; Magnoliopsida; Poales; Poaceae
Description: long non-coding RNA (TAES_LNC015686)
Source: RNAcentral
CUGCAGCCGAGGGAUUUCGAACGGGCGCCCCCAGCUCCAGCUCCGUCGACGGCAGCCGUAAUCUCCCGACAUGGUGGCCUCCCUGUCCCCGUCCCGCGCGGAUCCAGAAUCCUUGUCGAGGCGCCGCCCUGGAGGCGUUGCAAGCGCUGCGCCCUGCUCCCCCUGUGACUCUUCGAGGCUGGAUGGAGCAGGAGGAGCUCCACCUUGCGUCUCCCGGACAGAUCCAUCACCGGUAAGGCUCAGCCAUGACCACCCCUCCUCCUCCUCCUCCCCUCCCACCCCAUGCCCCCUUCCCCAUCUCACCCGCCCGGUCUUCUCCAUGGCGCGGGAUUCCCAUCCCCCCGGCGAGCUGUCCUACUUCCCCUCCCCUUCGGUGAGUUCGGCCUUCCACCUCGUGCAGUUCGGCCACCAGACUUGAAGUGUGUUAGGUCACGCGAUGUGGUGCGGCGGCGCAUGGUCGUGCAGUUCGCGGCCACCAUGGGCCUCCUCACCUCUACCUCCAUGGUCGCGUCCUCAACCAGCGGCGCCCUCCCCGGCGGAUGCUGUCUGGCGGUGCUAGGCAUGUAGUGCUCGGGUGAGCCGCACGCAGUACAGUGGCAGAGUGUGUGCACUACUCGGAGCUAGCCAGAGAACCACCGCAUCUCCCUCUGCACCCCUCGAGCCUUUCCCCUGUUAUGUUGGCAAUGGCAAGCACAACUGGCAGCCGUGCCCUGCAAAAAUGAAAGCCGCUGCCGACACACCAUGGUGAGCAGAGGAGGGCCUCCACCCCGGGCCCCGUGCAGUUCGCACGGUGCACUUGUGCGGUGCGGAGCGCGUGUGCUUGUAAUUCGCGGUGUGCAAUUGUUCGCCUGCACAAUUGUUGGUGAUUCCCCUCUUUAUUUUAUGCCCCCUUCCACCUAUCUUAUGUCGGCGACCAUCACGGCCAGCCCAGACGACGACGCCACGGCAAGCAGAGGAGGCCUCCUGCAGUUUGCGUCGUGCGCCUCGUGCUGUGCGGAGCGCCUGUGGGUGCAGUUUGCACAGACGAGGCCGUCCGGGAGGCGUACGAGGACAACGGCAACACACACUGUGAAGAACAAAAAUGUUGCACAAGCACGAUAAAACAGGAAUAUCUGUCACAUCCACCUUGGCGGCUCUCCCUUGUGGCAACGAGAUUUGUCGUGUGCUUCACUGAUUUUGUGUUUUUCUAAAGAAAAAAUCAAAGCGCAAUGUUGUCUGCUAUUAUUUGCUCUUGAAGUUCAGCUUUUUUGCAGGGAGAAAAGCGAUGCAGUACGGUUGAAUGCCGCGUUGCAUUUUUUUGGAGUUUCCUCAUGCAGUUUGGAGCGAGCCCCCCUCUCGUGAAGUCCUUCAACGCGUCCAUGCGGCACGGCAAGUGAGUGUGUGCACUCCACGACACUUCGGUCACUGGUGGCCAUCGUGCAGUCCGCAUUGCCGACGGGAAAACCAAAAACUCUAUAGAGAAAAAGAAAAAGAAAAAUGCAGUGCACUCAGGUCUUUAAAAAAGUCCGCUCAGAAGGACUUUGUAGUACACUUCAUUUAAAAAAUUGUAUUUGCAAAUGUUUACGUUGUGUUCGUUUAAGCAGUUUAAAAUACAAAAAAAGAAUAGUGUGGUUCA